UCGGAAGAAUUGUCGCGGUUGUCACCCAUGACAAACAGGUGGUCCGGCGGCACCGUGACCUCGCGGGUGUUGUCGAGGAAGCCGUGCUCUUUCAGCUUGAACAGGGUGUGCUCGCGCCCGCCCGGCAAUGUUUCAGCAAAACGUGCGGCAGGUGUGACCCGGCCGUUUUCAUCUUCAGCCUGACCGCGGCCGUCCGGCCGCAUCG
RNAcentral lists this unclassified non-coding RNA (205 nucleotides) under Hevea brasiliensis (rubber tree). Lineage: Eukaryota; Viridiplantae; Streptophyta; Magnoliopsida; Malpighiales; Euphorbiaceae. The record is from RNAcentral.